CCGAACUUAAAAGUCUUUGGCCCACAACAAUUAAAAGGUGAGGCCCAAAUAGAAAAGCCCAAACUUAAUUAAAAUAGCAUCAAGCCCAACUCUCUCUCUCUCUCAAACUAUCGGUCCUCUCUCUUCUUUUCCCAGCAGAACACGCUCCACUCCCUCUCCACUCGAUCUCGUCUCUCUUUUUCUCCAAGACAGCAGCGCCGCCUUCUUCCUUGGCUGUUCAGCGGCCGUCAUCUGCUCCGAUCAGUUUCGAUCGGCGACGCAUCAACCUCCGGCGUUGUUCUCUCUCUUCAUCGCAGACCCAAAAUCGAGCCUUAGUCUCAUCUGGUAAGUCGCCGCUGUCGCACCUCCGUCUGGAAUCCGGCGAGCGGUCGGCGCCGGUCGUGGCCGUCUCUCUCUCCCCGUCUGAAAUCCGACGGGUUGCUGUCGUCUGGGAGCGGC
Molecule: long non-coding RNA, 438 nt
Filed under: Salvia miltiorrhiza (redroot sage)
Lineage: Eukaryota; Viridiplantae; Streptophyta; Magnoliopsida; Lamiales; Lamiaceae
Description: long non-coding RNA (SMIL_LNC009130)
Source: RNAcentral